CAGGGAGUAGUUUAAAAAAAACGCUAGCUUUGGGAGCUAAUGAUAAGGAGGACUCCUUCUCUCUGA
RNAcentral lists this transfer RNA (66 nucleotides) under Ranina ranina. RNAcentral describes it as "tRNA-Pro". It matches the Rfam family "tRNA". From Rfam's summary of the family: Transfer RNA (tRNA) molecules are approximately 80 nucleotides in length. Lineage: Eukaryota; Metazoa; Arthropoda; Malacostraca; Decapoda; Raninidae. The record is from RNAcentral.